GGAUGGCGACCGGCGCACGGGUGAGUAACACGUAUCCAACCUGCCGACAACACUGGGAUAGCCUUUCGAAAGAAAGAUUAAUACCGGAUGGCAUAGUUUUCCCGCAUGGGAUGAUUAUUAAAGAAUUUCGGUUGUCGAUGGGGAUGCGUUCCAUUAGGCAGUUGGCGGGGUAACGGCCCACCAAACCAACGAUGGAUAGGGGUUCUGAGAGGAAGGUCCCCCACAUUGGAACUGAGACACGGUCCAAACUCCUACGGGAGGCAGCAGUGAGGAAUAUUGGUCAAUGGACGAGAGUCUGAACCAGCCAAGUAGCGUGAAGGAUGACUGCCCUAUGGGUUGUAAACUUCUUUUAUACGGGAAUAAAGUUAGCCACGUGUGGCUUUUUGUAUGUACCGUAUGAAUAAGGAUCGGCUAACUCCGUGCCAGCAGCCGCGGUAAUACGGAGGAUCCGAGCGUUAUCCGGAUUUAUUGGGUUUAAAGGGAGCGUAGGCGGGUUGUUAAGUCAGUUGUGAAAGUUUGCGGCUCAACCGUAAAAUUGCAGUUGAUACUGGCGACCUUGAGUGCAACAGAGGUAGGCGGAAUUCGUGGUGUAGCGGUGAAAUGCUUAGAUAUCACGAAGAACUCCGAUUGCGAAGGCAGCUUACUGGAUUGUAACUGACGCUGAUGCUCGAAAGUGUGGGUAUCAAACAGGAUUAGAUACCCUGGUAGUCCACACAGUAAACGAUGAAUACUCGCUGUUGGCGAUAUACAGUCAGCGGCCAAGCGAAAGCAUUAAGUAUUCCACCUGGGGAGUACGCCGGCAACGGUGAAACUCAAAGGAAUUGACGGGGGCCCGCACAAGCGGAGGAACAUGUGGUUUAAUUCGAUGAUACGCGAGGGAACCUUACC
This 888-nucleotide ribosomal RNA is filed under the name uncultured bacterium. Its description in RNAcentral is "bacterial SSU rRNA". It matches the Rfam family "Bacterial small subunit ribosomal RNA", at positions 86 to 975 of the family's 1533-position model. The record is from RNAcentral.